UCGGGAAUAUUGCGCAAUGGAGGAAACUCUGACGCAGUGACGCCGCGUAUAGGAAGAAGGUUUUCGGAUUGUAAACUAUUGUCGUUAGGGAAGAUAAAAGACUGUACCUAAGGAGGAAGCCCCGGCUAACUAUGUGCCAGCAGCCGCGGUAAUACAUAGGGGCGAAGCGUUAUCCGGAAUUAUUGGGUGUAAAGGGUGCGUAGACGGAAGAACAAGUUGGUUGUGAAAUCCCUCGGCUCAACUGAGGAACUGCAACCAAAACUAUUCUCCUUGAGUGUCGGAGAGGAAAGUGGAAUUCCUAGUGUAGCGGUGAAAUGCGUAGAUAUUAGGAGGAACACCAGUGGCGAAGGCGACUUUCUGGACGAUAACUGACGUUGAGGCACGAAAGUGUGGGGAGCAAACAGGAUUAGAUACC
Molecule: ribosomal RNA, 415 nt
Filed under: uncultured bacterium
Lineage: Bacteria
Description: bacterial SSU rRNA
Rfam family: Bacterial small subunit ribosomal RNA
Source: RNAcentral